GGUGAAAAAGCCGACUGGAUUUUAAAACUUGUUGGUGAAGAGAAGGCACAUGCAAGCUGCUGUGAGAAGCCACACAAGGCAGAGAAAGAAGAGAAAAUAUGUAAAGAAAAAGAGGAAAAGCCAAAGCCACGUCCCAUCGAUUGCAGUGAUGUCAAAUCAACAAGAGGAAACGGAAUAUAUAAGAUCUAUCCAAAAUAUUCUCAAGGAUUUGAUGUUUAUUGUGAUUUCGAGAGCGACAAUGGAGGAUGGACGGUGUUUCAGAGGAGAUUAAACGGUAUGACAGACUUUUACAGAGGUUGGGAAGCGUAUGAAAAUGGAUUUGGAAAUUUAGAGGCCGAAUUCUGGUU
This is a long non-coding RNA of Mytilus californianus (California mussel), 347 nucleotides long. RefSeq lists it as uncharacterized. NCBI's taxonomy places the organism in Eukaryota, Metazoa, Mollusca, Bivalvia, Mytilida, Mytilidae. The transcript is spliced from 3 exons. The record is from RefSeq and is a predicted model, not a curated record.